Molecule: ribosomal RNA, 1472 nt
Filed under: uncultured organism
Description: 16S ribosomal RNA
Rfam family: Bacterial small subunit ribosomal RNA
Source: RNAcentral
UGAACGCUGGCGGCGUGCCUAAUACAUGCAAGUCGAGCGAACGGACGAGAAGCUUGCUUCUCUGAUGUUAGCGGCGGACGGGUGAGUAACACGUGGAUAACCUACCUAUAAGACUGGGAUAACUUCGGGAAACCGGAGCUAAUACCGGAUAAUAUUUUGAACCGCAUGGUUCAAAAGUGAAAGACGGUCUUGCUGUCACUUAUAGAUGGAUCCGCGCUGCAUUAGCUAGUUGGUAAGGUAACGGCUUACCAAGGCAACGAUGCAUAGCCGACCUGAGAGGGUGAUCGGCCACACUGGAACUGAGACACGGUCCAGACUCCUACGGGAGGCAGCAGUAGGGAAUCUUCCGCAAUGGGCGAAAGCCUGACGGAGCAACGCCGCGUGAGUGAUGAAGGUCUUCGGAUCGUAAAACUCUGUUAUUAGGGAAGAACAUAUGUGUAAGUAACUGUGCACAUCUUGACGGUACCUAAUCAGAAAGCCACGGCUAACUACGUGCCAGCAGCCGCGGUAAUACGUAGGUGGCAAGCGUUAUCCGGAAUUAUUGGGCGUAAAGCGCGCGUAGGCGGUUUUUUAAGUCUGAUGUGAAAGCCCACGGCUCAACCGUGGAGGGUCAUUGGAAACUGGAAAACUUGAGUGCAGAAGAGGAAAGUGGAAUUCCAUGUGUAGCGGUGAAAUGCGCAGAGAUAUGGAGGAACACCAGUGGCGAAGGCGACUUUCUGGUCUGUAACUGACGCUGAUGUGCGAAAGCGUGGGGAUCAAACAGGAUUAGAUACCCUGGUAGUCCACGCCAUAAACGAUGAGUGCUAAGUGUUAGGGGGUUUCCGCCCCUUAGUGCUGCAGCUAACGCAUUAAGCACUCCGCCUGGGGAGUACGACCGCAAGGUUGAAACUCAAAGGAAUUGACGGGGACCCGCACAAGCGGUGGAGCAUGUGGUUUAAUUCGAAGCAACGCGAAGAACCUUACCAAAUCUUGACAUCCUUUGACAACUCUAGAGAUAGAGCCUUCCCCUUCGGGGGACAAAGUGACAGGUGGUGCAUGGUUGUCGUCAGCUCGUGUCGUGAGAUGUUGGGUUAAGUCCCGCAACGAGCGCAACCCUUAAGCUUAGUUGCCAUCAUUAAGUUGGGCACUCUAAGUUGACUGCCGGUGACAAACCGGAGGAAGGUGGGGAUGACGUCAAAUCAUCAUGCCCCUUAUGAUUUGGGCUACACACGUGCUACAAUGGACAAUACAAAGGGCAGCGAAACCGCGAGGUCAAGCAAAUCCCAUAAAGUUGUUCUCAGUUCGGAUUGUAGUCUGCAACUCGACUACAUGAAGCUGGAAUCGCUAGUAAUCGUAGAUCAGCAUGCUACGGUGAAUACGUUCCCGGGUCUUGUACACACCGCCCGUCACACCACGAGAGUUUGUAACACCCGAAGCCGGUGGAGUAACCUUUUAGGAGCUAGCCGUCGAAGGUGGGACAAAUGAUUGGGGUG